Molecule: long non-coding RNA, 2142 nt
Filed under: Triticum aestivum (bread wheat)
Lineage: Eukaryota; Viridiplantae; Streptophyta; Magnoliopsida; Poales; Poaceae
Description: long non-coding RNA (TAES_LNC001741)
Source: RNAcentral
CCCCUUCCACUUUUCUUUUUAAACUAUGUAGUGGUAUUGCAUCAUAGGCAUAUUAAGCAGGGUUCAUUACACACUUGAUUGAACGAGUCACACAUUCUUUUUAAACUAUGUAGUGGUAUUGCAUCAUAGGCAUAUUAAGCAGGGUUCAUUACACAAUUGAUUGAACGAGUCACACAUGCACCUUGGUUAUUACAGCAUUGAUAAAGAGUAGUGAAAUCAUCUCCACAAAAAGAAAGGGGGAAAACAGUGAUCGUGGAUGGAGUGGCUAAUCGUCAUCUCGAUCUCAAUGCAUCCACUGUUCCAGAUGCUGGGACAAUCUUCGUGGUCGUCGCCGCCGUCGGUAACCACUGUAUUUUUUGAGCCUCACCUCACAAUUUGAGGGCAAAAUUCAGAAACAAAGAGAGGAAGUGGAUCGAGAGGACGGGAAGGAAGAAAAGCAUACCUGGCAGCAGCGGAUCCCACACCAGUGCUCUUCCAGGAUCCACUUGACACUGCUUCCCUGGCCCUGCUACGAGGAGGCAACAAAAUCAAGUUCAGUGUUCCUAUGGAACCUACAAUUGAUCAGAUCAGUAUAAUCGUGAGCAUCUAUAUGCAAGAGAGAGAACAUAAUUUGGUUCAUCAUGACCCACUUGCUGACCCGUUGCUAGAAAGCCAAGUAAAAUGACUUCAUUACGUGUGAUCUAGCUCUGUACUAAUAAACUAUGGAAGUGUUGGAAAGCUAAACAAAAUCCCAAAACGAUCCUCAUUAUUAAGCAUGGAUGAUUAGGGCUAAGUAACUUUUCGAUCAAUAGGGCAUGAUACAAAAAGUAAUGUAAUUAACAUGAAGACUCGCUUCAAAAUCAUCGAGAUGCUUUGUAGCAUCAAUGGAGAUGUUUGCCACUAUUGUAUUUGAAGCUUUCCUGAACCAGUUAAGUAUUCAACUCCGAGCUGAUCCUGGAUAAGAAGUUCAGGGAAAAAGAUACCAUCAUAAAUAUUUAGUAACUUGACUUGAAUAAAUCCUUCCUUCGUCAUUAAUUAAUCUAGUUAAUGCAUACAAUACACAGGUAGGUGAACUGUUGAUUGCUGAAAGUGCAUUGCACAUAUCUCCAAAUCAGCACUAUAAAUAGUACUGUUAUUAAAUUAGCACAACUAAAAAUAUAUUAAAUAAUAUGCAUGAAAAUGCUCAUGGAUUAAUUUAUCUAGCUUCUAUUGUCAAGAUAAUAGCUCUGCUCUCUUUAGUGGUGAAGUUUUUUCAUGAUACACGAGAUGAACAUCGAAAUAAAGAAACUGAAUUGAGAUCUUAUUUGGUCUGGCAUCCAGGUAAAAGGUGAACGCCAUACACCAACAACCAUGAACAUAAACGUAAAUAGAAGCAACAACAAUAAAAAAUCCUGAUAUUACCUACUGCCCCAACAAUUUAUCCUCAUGUUGGAUCCAUAACAGGGAGGAGAGACGAGAGGCAAGUUGUACCUGAGGCGCGCAUGCGACCAAGGGAACGCACGAACGAAUUGAUGAAGAACCCAAGGCUCACACGACGCCUCUGCUGCUCCUGCAGCACGCAUCCAUUUCAACAUCAUUCUUCACGAUGUCAAAGACGAGGGAGAGGCGGCUGCUUGGCCAACGACCAGCCACAACACCUUCACCAACCCGNNNNNNNNNNGCCAUACACCAACAACCAUGAACAUAAACGUAAAUAGAAGCAACAACAAUAAAAAAUCCUGAUAUUACCUACUGCCCCAACAAUUUAUCCUCAUGUUGGAUCCAUAACAGGGAGGAGAGACGAGAGGCAAGUUGUACCUGAGGCGCGCAUGCGACCAAGGGAACGCACGAACGAAUUGAUGAAUGAAAAUAUAUUAAAUAAUAUGCAUGAAAAUGCUCAUGGAUUAAUUUAUCUAGCUUCUAUUGUCAAGAUAAUAGCUCUGCUCUCUUUAGUGGUGAAGUUUUUUCAUGAUACACGAGAUGAACAUCGAAAUAAAGAAACUGAAUUGAGAUCUUAUUUGGUCUGGUAUCCAGGUAAAAGGUGAACGCCAUACACCAACAACCAUGAACAUAAACGUAAAUAGAAGCAACAACAAUAAAAAAUCCUGAUAUUACCUACUGCCCCAACAAUUUAUCCUCAUGUUGGAUCCAUAACAGGGAGGAGAGACGAGAGGCAAGUUGUAC